RNAcentral lists this unclassified non-coding RNA (334 nucleotides) under soil metagenome. RNAcentral's name for it is "partial contains 5.8S ribosomal RNA, internal transcribed spacer 2, and large subunit ribosomal RNA". The stretch from base 1 to 120 matches the Rfam family "5.8S ribosomal RNA", at positions 35 to 154 of the family's 154-position model. The record is from RNAcentral.
GAUGAAGAACGCAGCGAAAUGCGAUAAGUAGUGUGAAUUGCAGAAUUCAGUGAAUCAUCGAAUCUUUGAACGCACAUUGCGCCCGCCAGUAUUCUGGCGGGCAUGCCUGUUCGAGCGUCAUUUCAACCAUCAAGCCCCCGGCUUGUGUUGGGGACCUGCGGCUGCCGCAGGCCCUGAAAACCAGUGGCGGGCUCGCUAGUCACUCCGAGCGUAGUAAUACAUCUCGCUCAGGGCGUGCUGCGGGUUCCGGCCGUUAAAAGCCUUAUUUACCCAAGGUUGACCUCGGAUCAGGUAGGAAGACCCGCUGAACUUAAGCAUAUCAAUAAGCGGAGGA